Molecule: ribosomal RNA, 301 nt
Filed under: uncultured bacterium
Lineage: Bacteria
Description: partial 16S ribosomal RNA
Rfam family: Bacterial small subunit ribosomal RNA
Source: RNAcentral
CAGUCGCCGCGGGAAUACGAAGGGGGCUAGCGUUGUUCGGAAUUACUGGGCGUAAAGCGCACGUAGGCGGAUAUUUAAGUCAGGGGUGAAAUCCCGCAGCUCAACUGCGGAACUGCCUUCGAUACUGGGUAUCUUGAGUAUGGAAGAGGUUAGUGGAAUUGCGAGUGUAGAGGUGAAAUUCGUAGAUAUUCGGAAGAACACCAGUGGCGAAGGCGACAUACUGGAUCAUUACUGACGCUGAGGCUCGAAAGCGUGGGGAGCAAACAGGAUUAGAUACCCGAGUAGUCCCUGUCUCUUAUAC